CUAUCUGCCCUGCACUCUGGGACAAGCCCUGGAAACGUGGUCUAAUACCGGAUAUGACUACCGAUCGCAUGGUUGGUGGUGGAAAGCUCCGGCGGUGCAGGAUGAGCCCGCGGCCUAUCAGCUUGUUGGUGGGGUGAUGGCCUACCAAGGCGACGACGGGUAGCCGGCCUGAGAGGGCGACCGGCCACACUGGGACUGAGACACGGCCCAGACUCCUACGGGAGGCAGCAGUGGGGAAUAUUGCACAAUGGGCGAAAGCCUGAUGCAGCGACGCCGCGUGAGGGAUGACGGCCUUCGGGUUGUAAACCUCUUUCAGCAGGGAAGAAGCGAGAGUGACGGUACCUGCAGAAGAAGCGCCGGCUAACUACGUGCCAGCAGCCGCGGUAAUACGUAGGGCGCGAGCGUUGUCCGGAAUUAUUGGGCGUAAAGAGCUCGUAGGCGGCUUGUCACGUCGGAUGUGAAAGCCCGGGGCUUAACCCCGGGUCUGCAUUCGAUACGGGCAGGCUAGAGUUCGGUAGGGGAGAUCGGAAUUCCUGGUGUAGCGGUGAAAUGCGCAGAUAUCAGGAGGAACACCGGUGGCGAAGGCGGAUCUC
RNAcentral lists this ribosomal RNA (593 nucleotides) under Streptomyces sp. GLT-Irr-7. RNAcentral describes it as "bacterial SSU rRNA". It matches the Rfam family "Bacterial small subunit ribosomal RNA", at positions 122 to 729 of the family's 1533-position model. The record is from RNAcentral. Lineage: Bacteria; Bacillati; Actinomycetota; Actinomycetes; Kitasatosporales; Streptomycetaceae.